Molecule: transfer RNA, 69 nt
Filed under: Sphaerodactylus townsendi
Lineage: Eukaryota; Metazoa; Chordata; Lepidosauria; Squamata; Sphaerodactylidae
Description: tRNA-Ala
Source: RNAcentral
GCAUGGCUCAGUGGCUGAGCAUCUGUUUAGCAUGCAGAAGCUCCCAAAGUUUAAUCCCUGGCAUCUGCA